UUUUUUCCYUACGGUNUAUUUGGCGAUCCCUUUUNGUGUNGCGGCGGGUCACAUCACGGGUCCAGGGGGUCGAGAUCGAAACGAGCUUUCCGAAAAGUACUCACGGGCCCCGUGAGUCCAACGGGAUCGAAAGUUAGGCAUGUGAACGCAGAAGUAUGUAAAUUUACCGACAAAUUCUCAUUUUCGUAUUUCGUUGCAUAUAAGUAGUAUUCCGUUAAUUGCUAGGGAAUUGAAUUAAUUGAGUCGCUUAAAAGCCGAUUAAUGAGAAAAGUCGCUUAAAAGCCGAUUAAUUGAGUCGCUUAAAA
RNAcentral lists this unclassified non-coding RNA (305 nucleotides) under Melaleuca pauperiflora. The record is from RNAcentral. Lineage: Eukaryota; Viridiplantae; Streptophyta; Magnoliopsida; Myrtales; Myrtaceae.